GGCCCGUUGGUCAAGUGGUUAAGACACCGCCCUUUCACGGCGGUAACACGGGUUCGAAUCCCGUACGGGUNU
Molecule: transfer RNA, 72 nt
Filed under: Bacillus thuringiensis
Lineage: Bacteria; Bacillati; Bacillota; Bacilli; Caryophanales; Bacillaceae
Description: tRNA-Glu
Rfam family: tRNA
About the family: Transfer RNA (tRNA) molecules are approximately 80 nucleotides in length. Their secondary structure includes four short double-helical elements and three loops (D, anti-codon, and T loops). Further hydrogen bonds mediate the characteristic L-shaped molecular structure. tRNAs have two regions of fundamental functional importance: the anti-codon, which is responsible for specific mRNA codon recognition, and the 3' end, to which the tRNAs corresponding amino acid is attached (by aminoacyl-tRNA synthetases). tRNAs cope with the degeneracy of the genetic code in two manners: having more than one tRNA (with a specific anti-codon) for a particular amino acid; and 'wobble' base-pairing, i.e. permitting non-standard base-pairing at the 3rd anti-codon position.
Source: RNAcentral